This 253-nucleotide ribosomal RNA is filed under the name uncultured bacterium. RNAcentral's name for it is "partial 16S ribosomal RNA". It matches the Rfam family "Bacterial small subunit ribosomal RNA", at positions 524 to 776 of the family's 1533-position model. The record is from RNAcentral.
UACGUAGGGGGCAAGCGUUGUCCGGAUUUAUUGGGCGUAAAGAGCGUGUAGGCGGUCAGGUAGGUCCGUUGUGAAAACUUGAGGCUCAACCUCGAGACGCCGAUGGAAACCAUCUGACUAGAGUCCGGAAGAGGGAAGCGGAAUUUCCGGUGUAGCGGUGAAAUGCGUAGAUAUCGGAAGGAACACCAGUGGCGAAAGCGGCUUCCUGGUCCAGCACCGACGUUCAGGCACGAAAGCGUGGGGAGCAAACAGG